UUUCCUGGAAAAAUUAGAUGGGAGGCUCUAGACAGAGAGGUGCCAAGAAGCAGAGCUUAAUAUGACAAUCCAUUAACAUAAGAAAAACCAGCCUCCUCUGAUGCUUCACAUGUCAAUCCGUUUAUUCAACUGGACAAGGCAUGAAGCUCUUCUUGAAAUCUUUUCGAUGCGGAAUUUUAAUCAGGAACAUUUUUCUUGAGUUGCCUUCUAACAUGGUACAGCCAAAGGAUUCCGAGCUAUACAAGCCAGUAUUGAUGGAGUCUUACACCUCACCAGGUGGGUUCUCGCAAAAUUUUCAGUGUGCCUAUUGAGUUGAAUAGUUUUGAAAAUGUUUUUACGAAAUACUAUUGAUGAUUGAACCAGAUUCCAUUGUCCAUGUAUCAGGGGCUUCAUAUCCUGCAUUAGUUUUCUGGGAAUUCAAUUGAUUCAAUCAGAUUAAAAUAUUCUAAGACUCUCGUAAUGAUAACACAUUAUAACAUGUCCUGAUGCUGGUUCCUGAAACAGAAGGAUUCAUAGUUUCCAUGUACCUGUUUUCGUUAGGGCUUCCAUCCUAGAACGAAGUCUUAUGUUCUGCAUUAUUGGUGUCUCAUCUAGGUCAGCCCCCCUCAAAUUCCCGUCAGAACCUUUUGAUGCAGCAAGACCAGCGAAUUCUGGUGUUGUUGCAGUAUGUCCAAUGUCCAUGGCUAGCUUGGCUUCAGUAGGGAAGAAUAAUCUUGCAAAUGCCACUGUGAUGUACACCACAACACUUGAUCAUACAUUUAAUUAUAAGCGAUGGUAGAUAUCCAUUUGAAUCAAUCAAGAUCAUAAUUGAACAAAAGGUGCUAAAGCCAUAAAUCAAUGGGAUGCCUUCACCUUUGUGCGCAUCAAAUGCCAUUAAGAAAAUCUCUAUUUUCAUCAAGAUUGCAUGGUAGAUUAGGAGACUAAAAUAGAAAGAGCAUAAAAGCUCUUAUUUGGAGAAGAGCAGACAGGAUAGCUAGCAGGACACCCCCAGCACCCAAACCAAGGAAUUUAAAGCUCGGAUAAAGCAGCAAGAAGAUCAGUACUGUUAAUAUGUAGGUAUCUCAACAGAGUAUCUGAAAAUAUCAUUGCCGGAUUUCUCUCUAUGUGCAAGAACAAAAUUAUGCAGAUUAAGCCAGAAAAAGAAGCAAAUUUUCAAUUCAAUGCAAUCCAAAAGCAAAAUCGAGUCCCAUGGAGCUGAAAGUGCAUAUGAACGAUGCACUGGCUUCAGCAAAAAGACUAGUGAUUUGAUCCAAAGUUAUCACGUGCAGAACAAUAUACCUCUGUU
Molecule: long non-coding RNA, 1285 nt
Organism: Populus trichocarpa (black cottonwood)
Lineage: Eukaryota; Viridiplantae; Streptophyta; Magnoliopsida; Malpighiales; Salicaceae
Exons: 3
Source: RefSeq, a predicted model, not a curated record